Non-coding RNA from Acanthosepion pharaonis, 113 nucleotides. The record is from the annotation of a GenBank genome assembly. Lineage: Eukaryota; Metazoa; Mollusca; Cephalopoda; Sepiida; Sepiidae.
UUGGGACCAUAUCAUGUUAGAACACCGGUUCUUAUACGAUCCCUGAAGUUAAGUAAUGACGAGCCUAGUCAGUACCUAGGUGGGUGACCACUUGGGAAUACCAGCUGCCGUAA